Molecule: ribosomal RNA, 225 nt
Filed under: uncultured bacterium
Lineage: Bacteria
Description: partial 16S ribosomal RNA
Rfam family: Bacterial small subunit ribosomal RNA
Source: RNAcentral
UACGUAGGGUGCAAGCGUUAAUCGGAAUACUGGGCGUAAAGCGUGCGCAGGCGGUGAUGUAAGACAGGUGUGAAAUCCCCGGGCUCAACCUGGGAACUGCGUUUGAAACGUACAAGGCUAGAGUGUAGCAGAGGGGGUAGAAUUCCACGUGUAGCAGUGAAAUGCGUAGAGAUGUGGAGGAAUACCAAUGGCGAAGGCAGCCCCUGGGUUAACACUGACGCUCAU